This 1216-nucleotide ribosomal RNA is filed under the name uncultured Prochlorococcus sp. RNAcentral's name for it is "partial 16S ribosomal RNA". It matches the Rfam family "Bacterial small subunit ribosomal RNA", at positions 53 to 1342 of the family's 1533-position model. The record is from RNAcentral. Lineage: Bacteria; Bacillati; Cyanobacteriota; Cyanophyceae; Synechococcales; Prochlorococcaceae.
ACAUGCAAGUCGAACGAAGUAGCAAUACUUAGUGGCGAACGGGUGAGUAUAAUGUGGGUAUCUGCCCUUUGGUCUGGAAUAACACGGGGAAACUUGUGCUAAUACUAGAUAAGCCUUUACAGGGAAAGCUUUAGCGCCAAUGGAUGAGCUCACACUUGAUUAAUUAGUUGGUAGGGUAAUGGCCUACCAAGGUUGCGAUCAAUAGCUGAUCUGAGAGGAUGAUCAGCCACACUGGGACUGAGACACGGCCCAGACUCCUACGGGAGGCAGCAGUGGGGAAUUUUCCGCAAUGGGCGAAAGCCUGACGGAGCAACGCCGCGUGAGGGAUGAAGGCCUCUGGGCUGUAAACCUCUUUUCUCAAGGAAGAAGAUCUGACGGUACUUGAGGAAUAAGCCACGGCUAAUUCCGUGCCAGCAGCCGCGGUAAUACGGGAGUGGCAAGCGUUAUCCGGAAUUAUUGGGCGUAAAGCGUCCGUAGGCGGCUUUUCAAGUCUGCUGUUAAAACGUGGAGCUUAACUCCAUCAAGGCAGUGGAAACUGAUUGGCUUGAGUGUGGUAGGGGCAGAGGGAAUUCCCGGUGUAGCGGUGAAAUGCGUAGAUAUCGGGAAGAACACCAGUGGCGAAGGCGCUCUGCUGGGCCAUAACUGACGCUCAUGGACGAAAGCCAGGGGAGCGAAAGGGAUUAGAUACCCCUGUAGUCCUGGCCGUAAACGAUGAACACUAGGUGUCGGGGGAAUCGACCCCCUCGGUGUCGUAGCCAACGCGUUAAGUGUUCCGCCUGGGGAGUACGCACGCAAGUGUGAAACUCAAAGGAAUUGACGGGGGCCCGCACAAGCGGUGGAGUAUGUGGUUUAAUUCGAUGCAACGCGAAGAACCUUACCAGGAUUUGACAUCCUGCGAAUCUUCUUGAAACGAGAGAGUGCCUUCGGGACGCAGUGACAGGUGUGCAUGCUGUCGUCAGCUCGUGUCGUGAGAUGUGGGUUAGUCCCGCACGAGCGCAACCACGUUUUAGUUGCAGCAUUUAGUUGGCACUCUAAAAGAACCGCCGUGAUAAACCGGAGAGGUGUGGAUGACGUCAGUCAUCAUGCCCUUAACUCUGGCUACCACGUACUACAUGCUACGGACAAAGGCCAGCGACUCGCGAGCAAGCAAUCCUAAAGCGUGUCAGUUCGAUCGUAGGCUGCCAUCGCCUACGUGAGAGAGGAACUCGCUUGAUAC